GGAUAUCCAAAUUCUGAGUGAAAUAAGAGUUUAUUCUAUCUUAUUCCCCCAAAUAGGUAAAAAAAUAGUAGUGGGCCAACCUGGUUUAGCAAUUCAGAUCAAUCUUCCCUAAUUCCAAAUAAUCUUGGUCUAACAAUUCCAUGAUAAACUAUGAAAUUGUUUAUUUUAGGUCUUUAAUGAGCACCAUCUAGACAUAUGAAUAACAUUGCAUUAAUUACAUCGGAUUGGAAUAUUAAAAUUCCAACCAAACAUAAAUCUGAAAUAACAAAGAGGAAUAGCUAUUCUC
Molecule: long non-coding RNA, 286 nt
Filed under: Elaeis guineensis (African oil palm)
Lineage: Eukaryota; Viridiplantae; Streptophyta; Magnoliopsida; Arecales; Arecaceae
Description: long non-coding RNA (EGUI_LNC014061)
Source: RNAcentral